GACGAACGCUGGCGGCGUGGAUUAGGCAUGCAAGUCGAACGGUAUCAUCCUUUCGGGGGUGAGAGAGUGGCGAACUGGUGAGUAACACGUAGGUUAUCUACCCUCAAGACGGGGACAACCCAGGGAAACUUGGGCUAAUACCGGAUGUGAGCAACUUUUAGUUGUUUGAAAGGUUGGCGUAAGCUGUCGCUUGGGGAUGAGCCUGCGUCCUAUUAGUUAGUUGGUGAGGUAACGGCUCACCUAGGCAAUGAUAGGUAGGCGGCCUUAACGGGUGGUCGCCCACACUGGGAUUGAGAUACGGCCCAGACUCCUACGGGAGGCAGCAGUCGAGAAUAGUCUACAAUGGUCGGAAGACUGAUAGUGCGACGCCGCGUGAACGAUGAAUCCCUUCGGGGUUAAAAGUUCUUUUAUAUGUGAGCAGUGCUUCUUAUAUUAACAGUAAUGGGGAAGAGAUAUUAGCAUAUGAAUAAGCAAACGGCUAAACUCCGUGCCAGCAGCCGCGGUAAUA
Molecule: ribosomal RNA, 508 nt
Filed under: uncultured bacterium
Lineage: Bacteria
Description: bacterial SSU rRNA
Rfam family: Bacterial small subunit ribosomal RNA
Source: RNAcentral